Haliotis rufescens (red abalone) is the source of this 424-nucleotide long non-coding RNA. RefSeq lists it as uncharacterized. NCBI's taxonomy places the organism in Eukaryota, Metazoa, Mollusca, Gastropoda, Lepetellida, Haliotidae. The record is from RefSeq and is a predicted model, not a curated record. The transcript is spliced from 2 exons.
GUUAGCUUUUAGAUUUUAGAAACCUUGAGAGAAGCCCUUCAACACAAGAACAGCUCUACUCCAUCGCCUGUCAUAUAUUAGGAAAUUUGACCUCGUUGGAUCUGAGUCAAAAAGAGAUAAGUCGAAACACAGUAUCAAUCUUGCACACAUUGUCCAGAUGGCUGUUUCAUGGAUCAAGUGGCAUGGCGGUGAUACAAGCAGGCAUUCCCACAGGAUUUCAGCCUGAUCUCCAGAUGAUCACCAGCUCACCUAGCCUUAAACGAAAGGAAUAUAACAGUGGCAACCUUGAUCUUUACUUUGAAGAGAUAGUUGGAUAAUCGCGACGCAAGCCUGGAACACGACCACCCAUCGACAUAUGAUAACAUCCUUUGUUUACUCAGUAAAUGUUUAUUUUGAUAAUAAUUCAAUAAACAGUUGCAACAUG